Molecule: ribosomal RNA, 510 nt
Filed under: uncultured bacterium
Lineage: Bacteria
Description: bacterial SSU rRNA
Rfam family: Bacterial small subunit ribosomal RNA
Source: RNAcentral
AUUGAACGCUGGCGGCAGGCUUAACACAUGCAAGUCGAACGGAACCUUCGGGUUUAGUGGCGAACGGGUGAGUAAUACCUAGGAAUCUGCCUAUUAGUGGGGGAUAACGGCUCGAAAGGGUCGCUAAUACCGCAUACGUCCUACGGGAGAAAGAGGGGGAUCUUCGGACCUCUUGCUAAUAGAUGAGCCUAGGCCGGAUUAGCUAGUUGGUAGGGUAAAGGCCUACCAAGGCGACGAUCCGUAGCUGGUCUGAGAGGAUGAUCAGCCACACUGGAACUGAGACACGGUCCAGACUCCUACGGGAGGCAGCAGUGGGGAAUAUUGGACAAUGGGCGCAAGCCUGAUCCAGCCAUGCCGCGUGUGUGAAGAAGGCCUUCGGGUUGUAAAGCACUUUAAGCGAGGAGGAAGGUCUUUGAACUAAUAUUUCAAAGAAUUGACGUUACUCGCAGAAUAAGCACCGGCUAACUCUGUGCCAGCAGCCGCGGUAAUACAGAGGGUGCAAGCGUUAAU